Molecule: transfer RNA, 71 nt
Filed under: Phrynosoma mcallii (Flat-tail horned lizard)
Lineage: Eukaryota; Metazoa; Chordata; Lepidosauria; Squamata; Phrynosomatidae
Description: tRNA-Tyr
Rfam family: tRNA
About the family: Transfer RNA (tRNA) molecules are approximately 80 nucleotides in length. Their secondary structure includes four short double-helical elements and three loops (D, anti-codon, and T loops). Further hydrogen bonds mediate the characteristic L-shaped molecular structure. tRNAs have two regions of fundamental functional importance: the anti-codon, which is responsible for specific mRNA codon recognition, and the 3' end, to which the tRNAs corresponding amino acid is attached (by aminoacyl-tRNA synthetases). tRNAs cope with the degeneracy of the genetic code in two manners: having more than one tRNA (with a specific anti-codon) for a particular amino acid; and 'wobble' base-pairing, i.e. permitting non-standard base-pairing at the 3rd anti-codon position.
Source: RNAcentral
GGUAAAAUGACCGAGCGUUUAGGUGGUAGGCUGUAGUCCUAUUCAUAGGGGUUUGACUCCUCUUUUUAUCA